RNAcentral lists this long non-coding RNA (663 nucleotides) under Anser cygnoides (Swan goose). Its description in RNAcentral is "lncRNA (ENSACDG00005015701.1)". Lineage: Eukaryota; Metazoa; Chordata; Aves; Anseriformes; Anatidae. The record is from RNAcentral.
GCUGGUGUGUACUGGCAUUACUGGGACAUGUGUUCUCUCCAGAGCUGAGUCAGGAAAUGACACCAGGCUUAUGUAGUAUAAAAGCACGACCCAAGAAUGGUGUAAGCUGCAGAGCUGGGGCUGUGGAUUGGUGUCAGUGUCACAAGUGCUUCCAGGUAAUGCUGAGUCUCAGCAACUUCGUGAGAGCUGGAUGUGAUGGGCUUGUGCCACUGCAAAAGAAUGGUUCCUUAUGUUGAACAAUGCUGAAAUGCAUGCAGGGUUCAGAAGACAGACUUGUAUCUGCUUUAAGCUUGGAAACUGGAAAAAAAAAUUAGAAAUGAUGACUGCAUAGAUUUCCUGAUUCUUUCCGGCAUGAUUUUCACAAAGAGCUCAGGAAGUGUUAUGCUUAAAAAAGAAAUACAAAACUCAUUGCAGAACCCGUUGAAGCUUUUAUGGCCUGUAGGCUGUCAGCAUUUCCAUCGUGGUUCCCUGCAUGCAGAAGUUGACAAUUCAGCUAUAAAUAAUCACUGCUGGUUGGAAAUUGGGAAAACUCCUUUCCUGGGAGUUACAGACGUGGUCCCUGCCAAGGCAGUAUAUCUCAGUGAUACAGAGACGGACCGAGAUUGUUUCCCAUUUCCCAUCAACAGCCAAGGGAUGUGGCAAAGGAAUAUUACAGGGCCCUGA